AUCCAGUUUACGAGUCCAACAACAGGACGAAGACGUGCGUUCUGGAU
This is a non-coding RNA of Schistosoma mattheei, 47 nucleotides long. NCBI's taxonomy places the organism in Eukaryota, Metazoa, Platyhelminthes, Trematoda, Strigeidida, Schistosomatidae. The record is from Rfam.